UACGGAGGAUGCGAGCGUUAUCCGGAUUUAUUGGGUUUCAAGGGUGCGCAGGCGGAUUUUUAAGUCAGCGGAAAACAUGCGGGGCCCAACCCCGUCGAGCCGUUGAAACUGGUUUUCUUGAGUGGGCGAGAGGUAUGCGGAAUGCGUGGUGUAGCGGUGAAAUGCAUAGAUAUCACGCAGAACCCCGAUUGCGAAGGCAGCAUACCGGCGCCCAACUGACGCUGAGGCACGAAAGCGUGGGUAUCGAACAGG
RNAcentral lists this ribosomal RNA (252 nucleotides) under uncultured Bacteroidales bacterium. RNAcentral's name for it is "partial 16S ribosomal RNA". It matches the Rfam family "Bacterial small subunit ribosomal RNA", at positions 524 to 776 of the family's 1533-position model. Lineage: Bacteria; Pseudomonadati; Bacteroidota; Bacteroidia; Bacteroidales. The record is from RNAcentral.